AGCGUAGGUGGCUCUAUAAGUCAGAUGUGAAAUCCCCGGGCUCAACCUGGGAACUGCAUCUGAAACUGUAGAGCUAGAGUAUGUGAGAGGAAGGUAGAAUUCCAGGUGUAGCGGUGAAAUGCGUAGAGAUCUGGAGGAAUACCGAUGGCGAAGGCAGCCUUCUGGCAUAAUACUGACACUGAGGCUCGAAGCGUGGGUAGCAAACA
This 206-nucleotide ribosomal RNA is filed under the name uncultured bacterium. Its description in RNAcentral is "partial 16S ribosomal RNA". It matches the Rfam family "Bacterial small subunit ribosomal RNA", at positions 568 to 774 of the family's 1533-position model. The record is from RNAcentral.